RNAcentral lists this ribosomal RNA (407 nucleotides) under uncultured prokaryote. Its description in RNAcentral is "bacterial SSU rRNA". It matches the Rfam family "Bacterial small subunit ribosomal RNA", at positions 355 to 774 of the family's 1533-position model. The record is from RNAcentral.
UGGGGAAUAUUGCACAAUGGGCGAAAGCCUGAUGCAGCGACGCCGCGUGAGGGAUGACGGCCUUCGGGUUGUAAACCUCUUUCAGCAGGGAAGAAGCGAAAGUGACGGUACCUGCAGAAGAAGCGCCGGCUAACUACGUGCCAGCAGCCGCGGUAAUACGUAGGGCGCAAGCGUUGUCCGGAAUUAUUGGGCGUAAAGAGCUCGUAGGCGGUUUGUCGCGUCUGCUGUGAAAACGCGAGGCUCAACCUCGCGCCUGCAGUGGGUACGGGCAGACUAGAGUGCGGUAGGGGAGACUGGAAUUCCUGGUGUAGCGGUGGAAUGCGCAGAUAUCAGGAGGAACACCGGUGGCGAAGGCGGGUCUCUGGGCCGUAACUGACGCUGAGGAGCGAAAGCAUGGGGAGCGAACA